UGUUGUUUGCGUGAGGGAUUGAGGCGGUAUCCUUUUUUGAGGCACGAAAAAAAGAUAUAGCCGAAAGCCCGACUUGAG
Molecule: non-coding RNA, 78 nt
Filed under: unclassified sequences
Description: Flavo-1 RNA
Rfam family: Flavo-1 RNA
Source: RNAcentral